Molecule: long non-coding RNA, 191 nt
Organism: Pan paniscus (pygmy chimpanzee)
Lineage: Eukaryota; Metazoa; Chordata; Mammalia; Primates; Hominidae
Source: Ensembl
UGUAACUAUAGUGAUGUUUCUGCUUUUGCUUCUAUCAAAAUCCCAAGUUAGACAGAAAAAGAUGAAGUUGCUUAUUUGACAACCACUGUGACCUCAAACAACAUUGGACAUUCGAAUCUGUUUUUCCAAAGUGUGUGAAUGUUGGACUGAGCUUUGGUAAUUUUAAACUUAUUUUGAAGGCUCAAUAGAAU